This 253-nucleotide ribosomal RNA is filed under the name uncultured bacterium. RNAcentral describes it as "partial 16S ribosomal RNA". It matches the Rfam family "Bacterial small subunit ribosomal RNA", at positions 524 to 776 of the family's 1533-position model. The record is from RNAcentral.
UACGUAGGGUGCAAGCGUUAAUCGGAAUUACUGGGCGUAAAGCGUGCGCAGGCGGCUUUGCAAGACAGAUGUGAAAUCCCCGGGCUCAACCCGGGAAUGGCAUUGGAUACUGCAGAUCUGGAGGAUCGGAGGGGGGACUGGAAUUCUUGGUGUAGCAGUGAAAUGCGUAGAUACCAAGAGGAACACCAGUGGCGAAGGCGAGUCCCUGGACGAUACCUGACACUGAGGCACGAAAGCUAGGGGAGCAAACAGG